CUGGUUGAUCCUGCCAGUUGUCAUAUGCUUGUUUCAAAGAUUAAGCCAUGCAAAUGUAAGUAUAGGUCGACAGAAUCUUUCGGGGUUGAAUGUACGACGAGACUGUGAACGGCUCAUUAAAUCAGCAAUAAUUAAAUCGGUGGAUGUUGGAAGACGGAGACGGAUAACCGUGGUAAAUCUAUAGCUAAUACGUGGAAAGAGAGAUAUUGACUGUGAUGGAGGAGUGAAUAUGAAGGAUAUUAGGAGAGUAGACAGAAAAGGAAGGAGAGUGAUUGAUAGUAUGUGAGUGGAUCGUAGAGAAAGAGACGACGAGCCGAACAAAUUUCUGCCCUAUCAACUGUGGACGGUAGCAUAGAGGGCUACGGUGGUGAUGACGGGUAACGGAGAAUUAGGGUUCGAUUCCGGAGAGGGAGCAAGAGAAAUGGCUGCCAUGUCUAAGGAUAGCAGCAGGCGCGUAAAUUACCCAAUCCUGACACAGGGAGGUAGUGACAACAAAUAACACGGGUCGGUGGUUUGGUAAAACAAAGGCCGACUGGGGUGCAAUGAGAACAACGCAAAGUCCUUAUCGAGUAGCAAUUAGAGGGAAAGUCUGGUGCCA
Molecule: ribosomal RNA, 598 nt
Filed under: uncultured eukaryote
Lineage: Eukaryota
Description: bacterial SSU rRNA
Rfam family: Eukaryotic small subunit ribosomal RNA
Source: RNAcentral